UGUGAGUGGCCAUGAGGGAUGAUAUAGUGGUUUGCUCCACAAAAAAUAUCCAGGGGCAUUGAGGAUCCUGGUACUGGUAGGCUUAUGAGAGGAUCUCCUUAGAAGAUUUUGUGAGAGAUUUUGUGAGGGUAGCUUCUAGUUGAGAGAUUUAUAUAUGGAGAGUUAAGAGUAUGAGGAUCUCCUCUUAUACUUAUUUUCUUUUCCAUAGUGAAGCUUGCAUGCCCCAUGGAAGAAGCACUUGGACUAUUCCACGU
This 254-nucleotide long non-coding RNA is filed under the name Elaeis guineensis (African oil palm). Its description in RNAcentral is "long non-coding RNA (EGUI_LNC054238)". Lineage: Eukaryota; Viridiplantae; Streptophyta; Magnoliopsida; Arecales; Arecaceae. The record is from RNAcentral.